This 255-nucleotide unclassified non-coding RNA is filed under the name Hevea brasiliensis (rubber tree). Lineage: Eukaryota; Viridiplantae; Streptophyta; Magnoliopsida; Malpighiales; Euphorbiaceae. The record is from RNAcentral.
AUCCUCUUUGACAAAAAUAACCCCAUCAUCACCGAUGUGCCGCCCCCACCAGUUGCGCCGCCUGUAGAACCACCGUAAUUAUGGCGGCGGAGAUCGCGAUCGUCAUCGGAGUAUUGCUGUUCAUCAAGCUUGUUAGGAGUAGGAGGAUGAUAAUACAUCCGCGAUGUUUGAGGACAAUGAGAAUUAAACCUAGCGGCAAUUCUAAUUCCAGCAUCCAAUAGCUCUACGUAUUUACCCAUCUCGUAUUGAUUUGAG